ACUGCUUCGCUCUCAGCUGCAGCGGUGGAAGAAGAAGAGCGGGAUGAUGUUUGAGCAGCACAGCCGCGGAUUUAACCGGGUGAGCAUCCCAGUCGUUGGCGGUGAGUCAAUGAUGGCGGUGACGUAACAAAACUGAAAAAAACUGGUAAGUGUUGACAUGAUUUAAAAUCAACUUGGAUUUAAGAAUCGCUAUGAUGACGUGAUUUCCUGCCAUUCGUAGUUUCCACCAGAGGUCGACAGACCAAAGACGGCCCAAACCUUCCUUGGAUGUCUGAGCGAAUCAGACGUGCUCUUCUGUUUUUGUUUUUUUGGACUUAAACGUCAAAAUUAACUUGUUGUUUGCCCUUCAGGCCCCGCGACCCUCCUGUGGAGGAUGAAGUGGUAGAAGAUGGAUGGUGACCUUCAGGGUGAAUCAUCUCUGGUCCCCCCAUGAAUGGCUCCUCAUCACACACUUGCUAUAAUUUCAGGGUGAAUGGUCUCUGCCCCAGUGGAUGACGCUUCACAACGCCUCUGCAUUUUUUUUCAGCUAUGUGCUAGCCGCGCAACCCUCCUGUGGUAGAAAAUGGAUGGUGACCUUCAGAGUGAAUCAUCCCCACCCCGUGAUUGGCGCCUCAUCACACACUUGCUAUAAUUUCAGGCCGCGCAACCCUCCUGUGGUAGAAAAUGGAUGGUGACCUUCAGAGUGAAUCAUCCCCACCCCGUGAUUGGCGCCUCAUCACACACUUGCUAUAAUUUCCGGUUGAUGUGCAGACGCACCAUUCCAGAGAACGACAACUUCUAAGCUGUGUCAACUUUUUUUUUUUUUCACAUAAUCACAUCAUCACAUAAUAAAAUUUAUAAAUUGUG
Molecule: long non-coding RNA, 846 nt
Organism: Solea senegalensis (Senegalese sole)
Lineage: Eukaryota; Metazoa; Chordata; Actinopteri; Pleuronectiformes; Soleidae
Exons: 6
Source: RefSeq, a predicted model, not a curated record